AACGCGAAGAACCUUACCUGGGCUCGAACGGCUUAAGAACAUCUUUGGAAACAGAGACUUCCCGCAAGGGACUUGAGUCGAGGUGCUGCAUGGCUGUCGUCAGCUCGUGUCGUGAGAUGUUGGGUUAAGUCCCGCAACGAGCGCAACCCUUGUCCUGUGUUGCCACUCCGUAAGGAAGCACUCGCAGGAGACCGCCAGCGAUAAGCUGGAGGAAGGUGGGGAUGAUGUCAAGUCAUCAUGGCCUUUAUGUCCAGGGCUACACACGUGCUACAAUGGGCGGUACAAAGCGCUGCAAACCCGCGAGGGGGAGCUAAUCGCAAAAAACCGUUCUCAGUUCGGAUUGCAGGCUGCAACUCGCCUGCAUGAAGCUGGAAUCGCUAGUAAUGGCGUAUCAGAAUGAUGCCGUGAAUACGUUCCCGGGCCUUGUA
Molecule: ribosomal RNA, 428 nt
Filed under: uncultured Acidobacterium sp.
Lineage: Bacteria; Pseudomonadati; Acidobacteriota; Terriglobia; Terriglobales; Acidobacteriaceae
Description: bacterial SSU rRNA
Rfam family: Bacterial small subunit ribosomal RNA
Source: RNAcentral